GGUGGAAUAUUCGACAAUGGGGGCAACCCUGAUCCAGCAACGCCGCGUGAGCGAAGAAGGCCUUCGGGUCGUAAAGCUCUUUUCUGAGGGAAGAGGAAGGACGGUACCUCAGGAAUAAGUCUCGGCUAACUACGUGCCAGCAGCCGCGGUAAAACGUAGGAGGCGAGCGUUAUCCGGAUUUACUGGGCGUAAAGGGCAAGUAGGCGGUGGCCAAAGUUGGGCGUGACAUCUCCCGGCUCAACUGGGAGGGGUCGUUCAAAACUAGGUCACAGAGGGCAGGAGAGGGAAGCGGAAUUCCUAGUGUAGCGGUGGAAUGCUCAGAUAUUAGGAAGAACACCAGUGGCGAAGGCGGCUUCCUGGCCUGUACCUGACGCUGAGAGGCGAAAGCUAGGGUAGCAAACGGG
RNAcentral lists this ribosomal RNA (404 nucleotides) under uncultured prokaryote. RNAcentral's name for it is "bacterial SSU rRNA". It matches the Rfam family "Bacterial small subunit ribosomal RNA", at positions 355 to 776 of the family's 1533-position model. RNAcentral also lists the same sequence under 1 other name. The record is from RNAcentral.